This 746-nucleotide small RNA is filed under the name Drosophila virilis. Its description in RNAcentral is "GJ26798". The record is from RNAcentral. Lineage: Eukaryota; Metazoa; Arthropoda; Insecta; Diptera; Drosophilidae.
GGAAGCUAUUCUAAUUAAAAAGUUGAAAUGAACAACAGAAGCACUCGAAAUUAAUUCAGUUCAAGAGUCGUCAUAAAUGCAACUGAAGCAGCUCAAAUCGCAAUUAUUUGUUUAAACAAAAACAUAAAAGAACGGCAAUUUUCAGCAAGCCGAACAAUAAAAACCCUUUGCUUGCGGCUUGGCAGAUGUGUGAGGGGAAUAAGAAAGCUUGUGUUGGGUGAAAAUAUCUUGAAGAAGACAAAAUUGUAUACAACUUCUAUAGUAUGCAAGCACUCUCAGUUUGUGGCAUGCCACGCCAAAUGGAUUAAAUCAAAAUCUGUUGACUGUUCGGUGCCGCAAUGCAGCGCAGGCGAUGACUUUGCAACUCAUCCGCCUCGUGGUGCUUAGACGCAUAAAUCAAUUGAAGAAUCAAUGAAGUGCAGGCGCACUGUUUGAACAAGGCUCCCAGCAAGAAGGCAGCCAAACAGGACCCCGUCAACGAGCCUGCAAAUGGAUGUCCCAAUGUACCGAUGCGGCCCAACUGAUUCAUGUGUCUCGGCUGGCUGAUAAACUGGUGGCACAAAAAGAGGGACAGUCAUUAGCAUUGCUGCAUUUGUCUGUGAAACGGAAACGGAAAUCGCGCUGCAUUCAAAUUGACAGACAGCAACAAACUGCACAACAAGUUGCCAACACAAUAAGAAAGCGUAGAUGCGUACAAGAAUCAACAACUGAUUUGACAAAUCAACUGGGCGCAGUUGAUUGCCAUG